UUCUUAUCAAGAGAGGUGGAGGGACUGGCCCUAUGAAACCCGGCAACCGUACUGACAAUAGUAUAGGUGCCAAUUCCAGCAAGACAAACGUUCUUGGAGAUAAGUG
Molecule: non-coding RNA, 106 nt
Filed under: Bacillus sp. (in: firmicutes)
Lineage: Bacteria; Bacillati; Bacillota; Bacilli; Caryophanales; Bacillaceae
Description: Bacillus sp. SAM-I sequence
Rfam family: SAM riboswitch aptamer (S box leader)
About the family: The SAM riboswitch is found upstream of a number of genes which code for proteins involved in methionine or cysteine biosynthesis in Gram-positive bacteria. The SAM riboswitch acts at the level of transcription termination control. The predicted structure consists of a complex stem-loop region followed by a single stem loop terminator region.
Source: RNAcentral